Molecule: long non-coding RNA, 205 nt
Filed under: Olea europaea (common olive)
Lineage: Eukaryota; Viridiplantae; Streptophyta; Magnoliopsida; Lamiales; Oleaceae
Description: long non-coding RNA (OEUR_LNC007940)
Source: RNAcentral
CAAAGAUCGCAAUGUAUGAGAUCGAAAAAAAUUUCUGAUUUAUGUUGGCUGAUAGAAAAUGGCAAUUUUUGUAGUUUAGCCAAAGGACAAACAAGACAAGGCUGUUUGGUGGAUCUUGUAACCAAAUUCGGUAUUGGUGGAGUGUCCUAAACUAUAGUGCCAAAGAUUGAAAUCCCCACCAUUAUUAAAGAUAGACAAAGCAGAC